CUCUCUCUCUCUCUCUCUCUCUCUCUCUCUCUCUCUCUCUCUGUCUCUUUCUCUCUCUGUCUCUCUCUCUCUCUGUCUCUCUGUCUCUCUCUCUCUCUGUCUUUCUCUCUCUCGCUCUCUCGCUCUCUCUCUGUCUCGCUCUCUCGCUCUCUCUCUGUCUUGCUCUCUCUCUCUCUGUCUUGCGCUCUCUCUCUCUCUCGCUCUCUGUCUUGCUCUCUCGGUCUGCCUCCCUGUUUCUCUCUCUUUCUGUGUCUCUCAGUAUAUAAGAGAUAUGUAUAUAAAUUAAGGACGAUAUUGAAGCACUAUAGCAGAAAAAUGGAAGGGAUAAAAAUGAGUAAAAUUAGGGAAUAAAAGUGAAUUUCCUAAUACAGGUCAUAAAACUAAUAAUAAAGAAGCGCGAUCAUAAUCGCAAGAGACACGAGUGCGAGGCAGAUCACUCACUGUCCGUAUUUCUCUCUCUCUCUCUCUUUUGUGUCUCUUUGUUUUGUGUACAUCACCUCUCUCCUGUGUCUGUCUGUUUCGCUCUGUCUCUCCAUCUCUCUCACACACACAAACACACACACACACACACACACACAGAGAACCAAAAUGAAGAAUAUAAAGUAAAGCCCCCAUACAGAAAUCAGGGAUAGUGCAGACUCAGUCUGUUAUGUGGGUUCAGGAUCGUAGUGUUUAUACAUUUUUUUAAAAAAAGGUACCGAUGGGUCAAUCUUUCAGUGCUGUACAGUCACACCUCGAUCAGUUACCGCACAGGUUCCCCGCCCUCCUAACACACCUGAUUCACCUAAUCCACUAAUUACCAGCCCUGAGCCCUGAGUGGAUUCGGGUGUGUUAGGAGCAGGCGGGUCACCAGCACCGGUUUGAGAUCGUGUGUGUUUCUGAAAUACUCCUGAAAUAAUCAGCGACAAGACGGUGGCUGGGUUUAAGAGCAUUGCCCUCGUGUGCAAAAACAACACGCGUUCAUAAAACACGGCGUAAAACGACCCAGUGCACCGGAUCAGAAGAUACGUCAGCUCUAAAUUCCAUACGGAUCCGGCAUUUUCAACUUUUAAAGCAUUUCUUUCUCUUUUUUUUUUUGCAUAACUUUGUUUGACUUUUGACUUUAAUUUCUUGCUGAUGUGGGUCGAAUGCAGAGCGUAAACCAAGACACUGUUUCAAAAGAUUGAAAAUAUGACCAGAAAUAAAUAAAUAACUGUAGUGAUGAAACAGCGAUGCUUCGUUAUGAAAGGGGGGAAAACGGAUCCAGACCUCGAAUUUCCACCUCCUGUAUUUGCAAACAGCCAGGAAUUAUUUUUGUACUCUUUCUGUUAUAACUGAUUCAUAAAAUGAGAAUUUCAACAUUGCACGAUCACGUUGGUUUCUCGCAGAAUUCGUCUUCCGUGUGAGCUCGGCUGUCGUGAGGCCGACUUCAGAACACGAGGUUAUCUGGUUAUCCGGUGCGAGCUGGUCAUGUAUUAAAUGGUGAUUAACACCAGGCUGCUUUGUUUGAUUGAGCACUUGGUUUAUCAGGUUCAGCAUGUUAAUCUGUUCGGAGAGAUAAGGAGGUGUGACGUAUCUUGGUUUACCAGCACAGCAGAAAGAGAGAACAUGGUGAACUUCACGAGUCUCGUAUCUCCAUUCCUCUCCCUCUCAGCUGUUUGCACAAAGUCAGAGCUUUACACUGGACGGUUGAUGUUAAAUAUCUGAUAUUGGUCGGACUCCAUCAAAAGCACUUGAGAGGGGAAAAGGGUAUCUUCUUCGGUUAUCUUAAUCUUGCUUACUGCGGUGAUUAAGUUUUCUCGGGUAAUGUAACACUGGUUUUUUUUUUUUUUUUUUUUUU
Long non-coding RNA from Ictalurus punctatus (channel catfish), 1819 nucleotides. The record is from Ensembl. NCBI's taxonomy places the organism in Eukaryota, Metazoa, Chordata, Actinopteri, Siluriformes, Ictaluridae.